UGUUAUCCAGUUACCAGUAAGUCCCAGUCCAUUGAAGUUUGUUUCUCUUAUAUCUGUUUUUGCCUCAUCUUGCCAAGAUCAGUACAGUGGAGGGAUGUUUCAUUCUUCCAGUGCAAACAAGACCUUUCCCAUGUGUGUUUUCUCCGUCUACGCUGUGAGCAACUGGGGCCCCGGAGUAGCCUGGGCUUUCCCUGGGGAGUGACCCAGACUCCCCCACCUGUUGGUUCCUGUCCUUCAGGUUUCUCCUCUCAUUCUCUGGGACUGGCUCAGAAGCACAAAGUUGAGGAAAAUCGGUGUGUUUUCUGCUGAGUUGCCCAGCUAUUGCUGGAACCUUUCAUGUUAAUCUGCAUGCAGGUUCUGGCUGUUGCUGUGGGCUGUUGCCCAAUUGCUGUGUUUAUCAGGACCACAGAAUAAAUGGCCAGCUUGCUCCACCUCCCAUCACGUUUCAAAAGACAAUGAGAAAGAUUCUGAGGUGUUGGUGAACACCUGACUGCCAUUGCCUUGAUAACAGCCCUUAGAAAAUGCAGAUUAGACAGAAAAACAUGUGUUAGAAGUUUUCUUCAGGGCAUUUCUGGUGCAUUGGGAAGGAUCACGUUCAUCAGCUAUGCGUGUGGAGGUGGGAUACCUUGUCUUAGUGCUGCCUGAUACAGAAGGCAGGUGGAGAACGUGAUGCUUCGAGUGGAAAGCAGGUAAUUUGUGACAGCCUCCUUUAUGGUGCUCCCAGCUGGCUGUUAGCCUUUACCUGGCAGGCUUUUCACCAGGUGCAGAAAACUCGUGUGUGCAGCCUGCAGGGCAGGUUGGGAGCUGAUGCUGCAGCGGGAAAUGGUACUCAUGGAUGCUGCCCUGGGAGCUUGGAAGUAGGCUGCUGACAAAGCACAGUUACAUCGUAAGAGAUGGUAGUUCACCUCGAGAACCCUGCACGGAGCUUGUAGACGUGUCAGUGCUCCCUGCUCACUGGCGCAGCACCGGUGCUGACGCCACACCUGCCGUGUGGCAGCAGGACAGGGGAGGGCCAGAGCAUGCCGUGACAGGCCUUGCUGUACAUGGAUCACCCCCAAGCUCAAGUUCGCGGAAGCUGUAGAGUGGCCCCGUUGCACCUGAAAGCUGCUGCCCUUUCACUGAAGGAAGGAGAGGGGACUGGAUGCAUCUCCUGCUGCUUCGUCCUGCCUUCCCCUCCAGCCUUCUCAACUCCACUACCUCUUCCUCAGAGGAAACACCUCAACUUUAAAACCGUGCCGUGAAACUUUGCGUUGCCCUUCCUUCGGGCGCUACCUCCCGGGGCAAGGCACUUCUCCUCAGUCUGAGGGCAGCCGCCUUUACCCCACGCAGCCCUCGCUGCCAGCUGCAGGGGCUGCCCCGGGGCUCUGGGGAGCGACCGUUGGGCACGGGGGGCGACCG
Long non-coding RNA from Cygnus olor (mute swan), 1398 nucleotides. RefSeq lists it as uncharacterized. Lineage: Eukaryota; Metazoa; Chordata; Aves; Anseriformes; Anatidae. The record is from RefSeq and is a predicted model, not a curated record. The transcript has 3 exons.